GAGCACGUAGGUGGGUUUGUAAGUCAGAUGUGAAAGCCUUCUGUUCAACGGAAGAAUUGCAUCUGAAACUACAGACCUUGAGUAUAGGAGGGGAGAGUGGAACUUCUGGUGGAGCGGUGAAAUGCGUAGAUAUCAGAAGGAACGCCGGCGGCGAAAGCGACUCUCUGGCCUAUAACUGACGCUGAGUGUGCGAAAGCUAGGGGAGCAAACGGGAUUAGAUACCCCGGUAGUCCUAGCCGUAAACGAUGGGCACUAAGUAGAGGGGUUU
This 268-nucleotide ribosomal RNA is filed under the name uncultured anaerobic ammonium-oxidizing bacterium. Its description in RNAcentral is "partial 16S ribosomal RNA". It matches the Rfam family "Bacterial small subunit ribosomal RNA", at positions 565 to 831 of the family's 1533-position model. The record is from RNAcentral.